UACGGAGGGUGCAAGCGUUAUCCGGAUUCACUGGGUUUAAAGGGCGCGUAGGCGGUCGGACAAGUGGAAGGUGAAAUCCCCAGGCUCAACCUGGGAACUGCCCUCCAAACUGUUUGACUUGAGUCCGGGAGAGGUGAGUGGAAUUCCCAGUGUAGCGGUGAAAUGCGUAGAUAUUGGGAGGAACACCAGUGGCGAAGGUGGCUCACUGGACCGGAACUGACGCUGAGACGCGAAAGCGUGGGGAGCGAACAGG
This 253-nucleotide ribosomal RNA is filed under the name uncultured bacterium. RNAcentral's name for it is "partial 16S ribosomal RNA". It matches the Rfam family "Bacterial small subunit ribosomal RNA", at positions 524 to 776 of the family's 1533-position model. The record is from RNAcentral.